Molecule: long non-coding RNA, 1731 nt
Organism: Phascolarctos cinereus (koala)
Lineage: Eukaryota; Metazoa; Chordata; Mammalia; Diprotodontia; Phascolarctidae
Source: RefSeq, a predicted model, not a curated record
UCCAAGAGAUUCCAGAGACCUUCCGAGGACUCAUCUAAGCAAAUGACAGUGCCCCACUUUGGGUGCUUCACGCUAGCAUCACAGAGGCCUCCCUCCUGACUGUUACAGAAAGAACCAAAAGGCAUCGCUGCUGUUGCUGCUGCAGCCUCAGACAAGGCCCUGAAGCCUGGGGGGCCCAGGCCAGGCUUCCCUCCCUUCUGGCCCAUCGAAGACACAGGAUGCAACAAAAAACGAUUCCCCCAGGGCCGUCCAAGAAUAGACUGGGCUUUCUGGAUCUUGGCUCCGGGCUCCUGGCCCAGGGCUGACACACUCCCGUCUGCCUAACAAAGGCUGGGAGAGAAGAAGCCUGGUGGCUGGGGUACCCACAAGCUCACAGGGCAGGAUCCACGGAAGAGCUGCGGGGCUCAAGACCCCACCUUUUAAAGCCUGGACAGUUAGCCCUAAGGUAUUGGCUUCCAGUUAUCAGUCUCCCCGCCCCCCCCAAAGAGAAUGUCACCAUUAACACCUGAGGAAGGAACUGGGACUGCUUGGGCUGGAGGUUUGCUGUCCCUGUACGUAUCUGAGGAGUGCUGCCUCUUCAUCUUCAUCCGAGUCACCCAUUGCAAGGGCCCCUGGCCAGGGACCAGGCACAGAUCCCUGGGGCAUCUUCCUUCCAAGAUUCCAUCAUUUCAUGAAGGAGAAACCUUUGGGUCGAGCCUUCCCAGCACUCUCGAAUCUUGGCUACCUAGCCUCUCAUCUAGCUGCAACAAUGUGUCAGAUACAUCAUCUGGGGACUUGUUUUGUCAAACUGCCCUGGAGAUUGGAAGUCUGGGAGGUGGUGGAUAAAGAUUCCACGGUGCAGCCAUCCAGGGCCCCACGCAUACGUCCAUGGAGAGGCUGCCCUGGGGCCACCUCUGUCGUGGUCUCACCAUCUCUGUGUGAGUCCAGCAUUCUCUUCUUGCAAAGUCAGAUUUGUGCUUGGCUCACUUUGGCACCAGACAAGAGUCUCUAUUUGGACUUUGCAGUCUUCCCAUGGGGCUAAUUCUGUCUGUAGAACCGAGGGGAUGGGUGAGGGGGCUGAGCCCGGGCUUGGGGACCACAUAGUAAGGGGCAUUGUUAUUGUACAUAUAUGUCAAAGGCAAAACUGUGGCUAAAAUUGACAUCCAUCCGCUCACAGUGGAUGUCUGCACCAGUUCUGACCAGAGGUGUCUCUUGGGAGGGGCAGAGACGCGAUUCCAUGGUGCCGGACAUCCCAAUCUGCCAAUCCUCCCAUCUUGACUGUGCUGUCAUUCCAUACACCCUCCUUCCAGGCUCCUAGAGAAUGGCUUUCAGAAAUCACCAGGCUUCCUAAAACCCACUUGGCUUACAGAGUCUGGCCUCACUGCAGGUCUGUUGGGGCCUGCCACCCCCUGGGUCUGCUGCCAUCUCUGUUUCUUCCUCUGUGAUGAGUGGUUGAGGCCAAGGGGUCCCUCCACUCCCUGACACGCUAAGGGGUCCUGCAGACAGAGGGCAUUCCCAUCCCCCUCAGUCCUUGGGGGAGGGAGAACUCUGCCUCUUCUCCUCAUCCCUUCCCUGGUCCUCAGAACUCCAGUGUCUGUUGACUUCUGAGCCCUCCUGAAGUAUUCCAGCACCAGGGACAAAUCCACUUGGGGGGGAGUGGGAGGCUUGUCUGAUGCAAGGUCCCUGGUAUCCCACAUAGACAGGGCAGCACACACAUGCACUCAUACACACAUGCAACUCACUCAUAUACAC